This 45-nucleotide non-coding RNA is filed under the name Schistosoma mansoni. The record is from RNAcentral. Lineage: Eukaryota; Metazoa; Platyhelminthes; Trematoda; Strigeidida; Schistosomatidae.
AUCCAGCUGACGAGUCUCAAAUAGGACUAAACGCGCGUCCUGGAU